Molecule: non-coding RNA, 26 nt
Filed under: Homo sapiens (human)
Lineage: Eukaryota; Metazoa; Chordata; Mammalia; Primates; Hominidae
Source: RNAcentral
UGGUAAAAAGAUUAUAGGGUGGAGGA